AUGCAUCCCGCAAGGUAAUAUAGUUGGCAAGGGUAAGAUGCACAACAAGGGACAUGAUUGCCAGCUUGCGCAUAGGUUUCAUGAGACCUAUUUAACAAUCAUGUUAAACAAAAAUUACAUGAGCAUAACCCUGGUAAAAAUAUUGUAGGUAGUUUAAAUUUCAAAACAUAACAAAUUUAAUGGUCGUUUUAUUAUUUAGGUGGACAUAGGUGAGAGAGUGACAACUUUUUAGCUUGAUUUUGACUAGCGAUAUAAUAUAUUGUAUGAAAUAAUUAUAUCAUUUAAUAUGUGUAGUGCAUGUGCAAGGCAACAGCUGGUAGC
Molecule: long non-coding RNA, 321 nt
Filed under: Hordeum vulgare
Lineage: Eukaryota; Viridiplantae; Streptophyta; Magnoliopsida; Poales; Poaceae
Description: long non-coding RNA (HVUL_LNC011673)
Source: RNAcentral